Non-coding RNA from Pantherophis guttatus, 2282 nucleotides. The record is from RefSeq and is a predicted model, not a curated record. Lineage: Eukaryota; Metazoa; Chordata; Lepidosauria; Squamata; Colubridae.
CCUCCAAUGUUGAUGGUAAAAAUAGAAGAAAGCAUGGAAAGCAAGAAUGCAUAUGGUCUUCGUCAGGAAUGAUACUUCACCAAGUAACUCAAAACUGACCUGUGAUAAUAGAUUUCAAACCUUUCUGGCAUGGAGUAAAUUUAGCCCCGGUGAUGGUUCUUAGAACCAGAAAGGAAACCCCAAUGGCCAUUUUCUUAUGCUAGGUGUGACUGUUGAUUGAUAAUAGAUUUUAUACCAUUCUUGCCUGGCAUAAUUUAGCCCUGGCGAUGGUUCUUAGAACCAGAAAGGAAACCCCAAUGGCCAUUUUUAAUGCUAAGUAUGGCCGUUGAUUUAUAGAAGAUUUUAAAGUUUCUCAGAUUGAGCGGAGGAACAACUGCAGUCCUGCUGCCAAAUGUUCCUUGGAAGAGACAACGCUUGCUGGACACGACUCAGGAAGGAAGAAAAGCCAAAGAAGAAGAAACAAGAGAGCAAGAAAAUGUCUCCAGCCCAAGUGAUGUUGCCUUCUACGCUGUGAGGCAGGUCCUACACCACCUUAAAAGACAGAAGAUUCAAUUGUCAGCCUCCAAUGUUGAUGGUAAAAAAUAGAAGAAAGCAUGGAAAGCAAGAAUGCAUAUGGUCUUCGUCAGGAAUGAUACUUCACCAAGUAACUCAAAACUGACCUGUGAUAAUAGAUUUCAAACCUUUCUGGCAUGGAGUAAAUUUAGCCCCGGUGAUGGUUCUUAGAACCAGAAAGGAAAACUCAACGACCAUUUUCUUAUGCUAGGUGUGACUGUUGAUUGAUAAUAGAUUUUAUACCAUUCUUGCCUGGCAUAAUUUAGCCCUGGCGAUGGUUCUUAGAACCAGAAAGAAAACCCCAAUGGCCAUUUUUAAUGCUAGGUGUGGCCAGUAAUUCAUAAUAGAUUUUAUACCUUUUUUGCCUGGCAUAAUUUAGCCCUGGCGAUGGUUCUUAGAACCAGAAAGGAAACCUCAGUGGCCAUUUUUAAUUCUAGGUGUGGCCAGUAAUUGAUGAUAGAUUUUAUAUGUUUUUUGCCUGGCAUAAUGCUAGGUAUGGCCAUAAAAUCUAUAAAAGAUCUUAGAACUUCUGAGAUUGAGGAGAGGAACAAGUGCAAGCCAUCUGCCAAAUGUUCUUGGAAAGUGGCAACGUUUGUUCAGCAUGGAGAGGAAGAAACAAAAGUGAAAGAAGGAAAAAGAGGAAGAAAAUGUCACCAGCCCAAGCCUGUUAGCCUUCAGCUGUGAUGUGGCCUCUAUGCUGUGAGGGUAUGUAGUACACCCUCUUUGAAGACAGAAGACUGAGUUGUCCACCUCCAGUGCUGAUGGUGAGAAGAGAAGAAAGAAUGGAAAGCAAUGUGAUGUUUGUCAAGAAUGCAUUUUCACCCAGUCAAUCAAAACUGACCUGUAGAAAAAUCUUUGAAAUUGUAAGCCACUCUCAUUAACAUGCCAUACUAUGUAUUUUAAUGUUGUCUGUGUCUUUUUAUAGAUAAUAGAAUUUCUAGUUUUCUUGCCCGGCAUAGUUUUACCCAUGGCGAUGAUUUUUAGAAUCAGAAAGAAAAGGUCAAGUACUCUUUUUAAAUCUAAGCGUGCUCCAUGAUGUAUAUAAGAUUCCAUGGUUUUCUUGCCUCUUGGCUAUUAGUCCAGGCAAUGGUUCUUAAAACCAAAGAGAAUGAUUAUGGCAUUCUCAAAUACUAGUUAGUUAUUAGUUAUUUGGUAUAGUAUAAUGUUAGCCAUAGCUGUAGUUCUUAGAAGUUGAGAACACCCCACAAGCAUCCCAUAUAUCAACAUGGCAUGGAAAGGAUAGUGAGUUGAUGGGGUACAUUUUUCAGGAGCAAGGCUGCACUGUUCCUGAUUCUAUCUGUGCUCAAAGCAGACCCCCACGCAUGAUGGUGGAAAUGCUACGGCCCCGGGAGGACGUGGUCUUCCAGUCACUGAGCAGGCAGUGAGGGCGGAUCCCACUGGAAGAGUCUAGAGCGCACAGAGAGAAGGCUCUCCCAGUCCCUGAGGAUCCCCAAAUGAGCAACCUGGAAGGGAUCCUUUGGGAUCACCAGUCCCCCUCCACUUCGUACUCUGCCUACGUUCACGCAUGACCACAGGUGAGUUGAUGGGGUGCGUUUUUCAGGAGCAAGGCUGCAUGUUCCUCAUUCUAUCUGUGCUGAAAGCAGACCCCCACGCAUGAUGGUGGAAAUGCUACGGCGCCGGGAGGACGUGGUCUUCCAGUCACUGAGCAGGCAGUGAGGGCGGAUCCCACUGGAAGAGUCUAGAGCGCACAGAGAGAAGGCUCUCCCAGU